GGAGGUGAUAUGGUGGAUCUUGCUGGGGUGGGGGGUGGAGAAAGAGGUUCAGAACCUGAUGGAGGAGGGGGUGAAGGAGAAUUUUGAGGUGAGCUUGCCACCGGUGGGGGUGGGGAACUGGAUGAAGUUGGAGAUGGAACAUUGUCUGGAGGAGGUGUAGAAGGUGAAACAGCUGGAGGGGAAGGUGGGGUCCCUACAGGAGGGGCUGGGGAAACCCGGGGAGAGGGAGAACCUUCUGAUGGAGGUGGUGGGGACAAAACUGGAGGGGGUGUUGAGUUCACAGCUGGAGGAGGGGCAGAUGUUGGAGGUGAUGGUGGCGGUGAUGCUGGAGGUGAUGGUGGUGGUGAUGCUGGAGGAGAUGGUGGUGGUGAUGCUGGAGGUGAUGGUGGUGGUGAAGUUGGUGGUGGUAUUGAUGCAGGCGGCGGUGGUGGUGAUUCUGGAGGAGAGGCAGUAACUGAUGGUGGAGGAGAUUGAGUAGGUGGGGGUGAAGGAUUAGAAGGGGUUGAGGGUGCUACUUGGUCAGAAGUCUGAUUAGGAUCAGAGCCAGCAGGAGGUUGUGAAUUACUGGAAGAAUUUGAAGAAGAGGAAGAUGACGGGGAGGUAGCAGUGGAAGGAGGAGAAUUUGGAGAAG
RNAcentral lists this long non-coding RNA (631 nucleotides) under Vitis vinifera (wine grape). RNAcentral's name for it is "long non-coding RNA (VVIN_LNC004769)". The record is from RNAcentral. Lineage: Eukaryota; Viridiplantae; Streptophyta; Magnoliopsida; Vitales; Vitaceae.